UCUCCCAUGGUCAUGUCUGAAGAGUGCUGGCGACCUGCAGCCCUGGCGGCGGGAAGAACACUUGAAGGCCCAGGAGACGAGGGUGUGUGAUUCCCAAGGCCGCUGCGGAGGAAGAGCCCUGCUCUUCCUCAGCUCUGCUGUCGCUGUCCUCCUCGUCCCUGCAGACCAUGGGCUCUGCCCCAGGGGAGGUCUAUUUGGUCUGCCAGGUGAUCCCCGAGGCCACCGUGGAGGAAGAUCCCUGCUCUUCCUCGGCCCUGUCUUCCGGGGCGCCCUCCUUCCUCCGCCAGGUGAUUCCCAAGACCGCAGUGGAAGAAGAUCCCUGCUCUUCCUCGUCUCUGUUGGCUUCUGGGGCGCCCCGCUUCCUCCCCGAGGUGAGGCUGCAGGCCACUGGGGAGGAAGAGCCCUCUUCCUCUGCUCUGUCUUCCGGGGCGCCCUCCUUCCUCCACCAGGUGAUUCUCAAGACGACAGUGGAAGAAGAUCCCUGCUCUUCCUCAUCUCUGCUGUCUUCUGGGGCGCCCCGCUUCCUCCCCCAAAUGAGUCGGGAGGCCACUGGGGAGCAAGAUCCCUGCUCUUCCUCGUCCCUGCAGUCCAUGGCCUCCACCCCAGCUACCCCAGGUCAAGUGCGUGUGCAGUGGCUGCCGCCUGGAAAUCCUGGACAAAUACCUCCUCAAGGUGAAUGACAUGUACUGGCACAUGCAAUGCCUCUGCUGUAGCGUGUGCCAGACCUCCUUGGGAAAGCACGCCACCUGUUUCAUUAAAGAUAACACCAUUUUCUGCAAGAUUGAUUAUCUCAGGAAAUUUGGAACCUGCUGCUGUGGCUGUGGGAGGUACGUGUGCUCCAGCGAUUGGGUACAGAAGGCGCGGGGCUAUGUCUACCACUUGGCCUGCUUUGUUUGUUUCUCCUGCAAAAGACAGCUCAGUACUGGAGAUGAGUUUGCUUUGGUGGAAGAAAAAGUCCUUUGUAGAAUCCAUUAUGAUGGCUUGGAGGACAGUCUGAAGAGAGAAGCAGAAAAUGGUAA
This 1019-nucleotide long non-coding RNA is filed under the name Sarcophilus harrisii (Tasmanian devil). Its description in RNAcentral is "lncRNA (ENSSHAG00000031921.1)". Lineage: Eukaryota; Metazoa; Chordata; Mammalia; Dasyuromorphia; Dasyuridae. The record is from RNAcentral.